This is a long non-coding RNA of Sorghum bicolor (sorghum), 418 nucleotides long. RefSeq lists it as uncharacterized. Lineage: Eukaryota; Viridiplantae; Streptophyta; Magnoliopsida; Poales; Poaceae. The transcript has 2 exons. The record is from RefSeq and is a predicted model, not a curated record.
UUCCUUGUUGGCCUUCUGCUCGGUCUCCGGCUGGGAGCGGCUCUGGCAGGGGCAGGGGCGCGGCCAUGUCCGCGAACGACAGGAGCAGUUGCCCGCCGCGGCGCUGCGCGCAGAACAAGGUGGACGACGCCACGGGGACGACCCUGACGCACUUUCCCCUCUCCUCCAACUAUUGUUUGGCGAUUGACUUAGGGUUGAUGGAGCCGACGAACCAAGGUUCUGUAGGCGGAGCAGCUCCUCAUGAUCUCUCCUCAGAGGGUCCCACCGAAGUACUGUCCACUGCUCACAUCUUCUCUAGUGAAGUCCAUCUGCACAGUUGAUGGGAUGUUUGAGUGGUUGAAUACUGUUCAAGUAAAAAAGUUGAAGUGUAAUGAAAGCUUCUAGGUACAACUAAAACAGCUAUUUUACUCUCUUGUCA